AGUGAACGCUGGCGGUAGGCCUAACACAUGCGAGUCGAACGGCAGCACAGUAAGAGCUUGCUCUUACGGGUGGCGAGUGGCGGACGGGUGAGGAAUACAUCGGAAUCUACUUUUUCGUGGGGGAUAACGUAGGGAAACUUACGCUAAUACCGCAUACGACCUACGGGUGAAAGCAGGGGAUCUUCGGACCUUGCGCGGUUGAAUGAGCCGCUGUCGGAUUAGCUAGUUGGCGGGGUAAAGGCCCACCAAGGCGACGAUCCGUAGCUGGUCCGAGAGGAUGAUCAGCCACACUGGAACUGAGACACGGUCCAGACUCCUACGGGAGGCAGCAGUGGGGAAUAUUGGACAAUGGGCGCAAGCCUGAUCCAGCCAUACCGCGUGGGUGAAGAAGGCCUUCGGGUUGUAAAGCCCUUUUGUUGGGAAAGAAAAGCAGCAGGUUAAUACCCCGCUGUUCUGACGGUACCCAAAGAAUAAGCACCGGCUAACUUCGUG
Molecule: ribosomal RNA, 492 nt
Filed under: uncultured bacterium
Lineage: Bacteria
Description: partial 16S ribosomal RNA
Rfam family: Bacterial small subunit ribosomal RNA
Source: RNAcentral